GGAAAAUAUAACAGGCGGCUCACCAUUUAAAGGUUUGGUGCACAAAGAAGUCUCUCUCUCAAGUGACUGCUGUAAGCACCUCGAAGUGACAUUCAAGAGGAGUGAAAUUUCUUAAGUGCAGUCAUCCUAACUGAAGUCUGGAGAAACUGAAAUCACCAUUUUAAGUAGUAAAUAAGGCAAACAUCUCUGACACCUGAAAAGUCAAAUUGUGCACAGCUGUACAAUUGUGCACUGUACACAUGCCUGCACUGAUGUGCCUAGGAGAAUAAGGGCCAAAGGCAUUUCUACCUAUUCAUCUGUAGUAAUAGAUGCAAUUCAAAAUUCAAAGUCAGUGACACCGAUUUCACUGGGUUUUGGAUAAGCCCCUGAAAAAUGUUCCAGCUCUUUAAAACAUCGAAGAAAAGUUGAGCAAUUGAAUAAAUCACACUAGAAGUUGAGUAAGUAGAAAGAAAAAGACAAACAAACACAUGACUACUGAUAGAUAAUGUGGAGUUUAAGGAUUUUCACUACAGAACUCUGCCGAGUUCUCCCAUCCCUCUCCUGCCAUUUGCAAUUCUUUCAUCUUGGUUGAGCUGGCCCCGUCAGUCAAAGCUGAUACUACAGCAGUUUAUUAUGAGGAACAAAUUUACUUUCCAUUAAAUCCAUUUUCACACAUGAUCUAAUCCGAUGCACAUUCAAAGCCUGAAACAGACUCAAAAUCAAACAAAAUAGUAUUUAUGCAUCAAAACACAGGUUAGUUAACCAAGUUUUUUUUUUUAUUUCAAUGUAUUGGGAACAUUUUCUCAAAUUAAAAAUAGAAACUUUAAAAUCUACAGUCUGAACAUAAUAUGUACACAUAUGCUACAUAUAAUCAAGUAGAAAGAUUUCCAUUUACGAUCUAACAGUGAAAAAUGUAGGAAGUUAUUUCAGAUAAAGACUGGUAGCACUGAAAACCUGGUAGCACUCUUCAGUUUUCAUCUUAUAUAUUCAAUGGUUUUCAGGAAUACCCCUAAUUGAAACCAUAAUUCACCUUUCUGGAAAUAAAACUAAGAAUAAACAUAUUCAAGACAUCUAUUUAUUUCAUCUUCCUUUGCUCCUUGUGCUUUAUAUUUAUAGUGUAGACAUUUGCAGCCCUUUUAAAUGAAUUUAUGCAGCCAUCUCAUCCAGCAACACAACUGUCAUGCCUAAAUUCAAGGCAAUCCCCAAACAGUAACAAUGUAAAUUAACUCCCCCAAAGCGUUUCUAAGUUUUAUGUGGAAAGUUGCAUUUGCAAAUGAAUUAGCAAAAAUAAUUCCUGGCUGUUAAACAAUUUUCAGUGCCAUCUCUUAGGAACUUGGGUUGUACAGGAGAAAUGGCGCUUUCAAAAACAGAGAUGAGCAACUUUUUGCUACUACUGGCUAUGCUUGUGACCCAGAACCCUCCCACAGGUCACAAAUCUAUGCCCUCCCCCCACCCCGAGUGCCCAAGCCACCUGCACCUACCUUCACCACAGAUUCAAGUGGCCAAGAGUGAUGGAAAGGGUUAAAAUUUGGUGGUGCUGUAUUUGGGAGAGCAGAGUGGCCAGCAGACACCGCGGAAGGAACAGACAGAGCACAGCAGACUGUAGGAUAUCUCCUCUAGGGCCCUGGCUACUGCAGAAGGAAUAGAUGGAACAAGGCAAUGGUUGGACCCCCUCUGCUGCCCCAGCUACAGUGUGCUGCUGAUUCCCCAGGUUGCCCUGGGAAAGAUCCAAUCUCUUCAGGGGCCAGAUCCAACUCCUGGGCUGUAGGUUUCCAACCCUUGUAAAAGAACCAGUUUCAUGACAUCCUACUCUAUUUGAGUAUUAUUAAACUCCAGUCAUCAGGUGGGUUUUCCAUAUUGUGCAGUGCAAGCACACAAAAACAAACACAAACUUGUAGUUUUAAAUGAGUUUCUCUGAAACUGCCUUCUUUUUUUCUAUAUUUCAAACAUCACUACAUAUGAAAUUAUUCAAGGAAAGGAGAAAAUAAUUCUUUGACUGAUUUAAUUUUUCAAAGACACAAAAGAGAUAUUGUGAGUUUCAUAUAUUUAAAAGUUCAGUCAAAAGUGGUCAUUCCAAGAGCACCAAAUAUCAACACUGAUCAUGCUGGUAAGUUCUUUUAUGAAGUAUAUUAUACAGUAUUAAAAACUUAGCUAAAUACUUAUAAGUUGUAAGAAAAUGUAUAUACAAAAGUCUCUGUAUAUAAAAUGUAUUCUUUAUGUAAACGUAUUUAAUACAUUCCCAACAAAAUAAGAAGGAGAUUUUGAGCAACCACAGUCAGACAGUUAACUUGAAGUAAAAUCUAUGCAAGUGAAAUUAAUAUCUUUAUCAUGAUUUGGUUUAGAAAGCCCAGUGUAAAAAAGUAAAAAAGAAACAAAAUUACACUUUAUUUUAAACUCUGAAUGGUAGUGAGCGAGAAGUGGAUGCCAAGUGCCCUGGUCAUAAAAUAUUUUGUACAGUAGUUUAUGGUAUAACAUUCAAUAUUAUUUGCUUGAUUUACAGGACAAGCCGCAUAAAGCGAGUGGCUCAGGGCUUGGAAGAUGAAUGCAGAUCCCAAUACAGUUUCAAGUGUCAUGCUGUCCCACAGAAGUCUCUUGAGCAUCACAUUUACGGGCUGAAAACAGAAAUUCAGGAAAAAGUUGAAGUAAUUUGUACGGAAGCUGAGAUAUGGAUGAAUGUAAUGUAAAAGUUACAUAUGGAUCAGCACAACUUUUACCUUGCAACAAUCAUGCUACUUAAAAAAUAUAAGCCUUUGCUGUUUUUUUCACAUUUUAAGACCACUUUUUUGAGAAAAAAAAUGCAUGAAUUUUUAAAUAAAUUAAAAAGCUUGUUACUUA
Alligator mississippiensis (American alligator) is the source of this 2814-nucleotide long non-coding RNA. RefSeq lists it as uncharacterized. The record is from RefSeq and is a predicted model, not a curated record. Lineage: Eukaryota; Metazoa; Chordata; Crocodylia; Alligatoridae. The transcript is spliced from 2 exons.